AUUUCUAUUACCCUGAAGUGUGUCGCAGCAUCAAUUGGUGAAAAAGUCCCAUUGACUAAAAAGCUGCCGGCAACAACAACAGUUGGCAAGCUGAAAAUCCUAUGUGAGAGUUUCUUCAAGAUAAAAUCUAUUAAACCGAAGUUGUUUAUUCAAGAAGAGGUAUGUAUCAGUCACUUAGAUUUCAUGAAUAGAUGAUAUAAUGGAUCAAACCCCCCUUAAACAAUCACAUUUUUACAAGUUUCAUACUCAAACCAUGCCUACUUUAUGU
This 268-nucleotide unclassified non-coding RNA is filed under the name Hevea brasiliensis (rubber tree). The record is from RNAcentral. Lineage: Eukaryota; Viridiplantae; Streptophyta; Magnoliopsida; Malpighiales; Euphorbiaceae.